Molecule: ribosomal RNA, 488 nt
Filed under: uncultured bacterium
Lineage: Bacteria
Description: partial 16S ribosomal RNA
Rfam family: Bacterial small subunit ribosomal RNA
Source: RNAcentral
GAUGAACGCUGGCGGCGUGCUUAACACAUGCAAGUCGAACGGAAAGGCCUUGUGCUUGCACAAGGUGCUCGAGUGGCGAACGGGUGAGUAACACGUGGGUGAUCUGCCCUGCACUGUGGGAUAAGCCCGGGAAACUGGGUCUAAUACCAUAUAGGACCACUUCUUGGAUGUUGUGGUGGAAAGCUUUUGCGGUGUGGGAUGAGCCUGCGGCCUAUCAGCUUGUUGGUGGGGUAAUGGCCUACCAAGGCGGCGACGGGUAUCCGGCCUGAGAGGGUGUACGGACACAUUGGGACUGAGAUACGGCCCAGACUCCUACGGGAGGCAGCAGUGGGGAAGAUUGCACAAUGGGCGCAAGCCUGAUGCAGCGACGCCGCGUGGGGGAUGAAGGCCUUCGGGUUGUAAACUCCUUUCGCUAUCGACGAAGCCACUUGUGGUGACGGUAGGUAGAUAAGAAGCACCGGCUAACUACGUGCCAGCCGCCGCCGUAA